AGAUUAAAGAUUUAUCGGUGAUGGAUGGGGAUGCGUCUGAUUAGCUUGUUGGCGGGGUAACGGCCCACCAAGGCAACGAUCAGUAGGGGUUCUGAGAGGAAGGUCCCCCACAUUGGAACUGAGACACGGUCCAAACUCCUACGGGAGGCAGCAGUGAGGAAUAUUGGUCAAUGGGCGAGAGCCUGAACCAGCCAAGUAGCGUGCAGGACGACGGCCCUAUGGGUUGUAAACUGCUUUUAUAAGGGAAUAAAGUGAGUCUCGUGAGACUUUUUGCAUGUACCUUAUGAAUAAGGACCGGCUAAUUCCGUGCCAGCAGCCGCGGUAAUACGGAAGGUCCGGGCGUUAUCCGGAUUUAUUGGGUUUAAAGGGAGCGUAGGCCGGAGAUUAAGCGUGUUGUGAAAUGUAGACGCUCAACGUCUGCACUGCAGCGCGAACUGGUUUCCUUGAGUACGCACAAAGUGGGCGGAAUUCGUGGUGUAGCGGUGAAAUGCUUAGAUAUCACGAAGAACUCCGAUUGCGAAGGCAGCUCACUGGAGCGCAACUGACGCUGAAGCUCGAAAGUGCGGGUAUCGAACAGGAUUAGAUACCCUGGUAGUCCGCACGGUAAACGAUGGAUACCCGCUGUUGGCCUGAAUAGGUCAGCGGCCAAGCGAAAGCAUUAAGCAUCCCACCUGGGGAGUACGCCGGCAACGGUGAAACUCAAAGGAAUUGACGGGGGGCCGCACAAGCGGAGGAACAUGUGGUUUAAUUCGAUGAUACGCGAGGAACCUUACCCGGGCUUGAAUUGCAGAGGAAGGAUUUGGAGACAAUGACGCCCUUCGGGGCCUCUGUGAAGGUGCUGCAUGGUUGUCGUCAGCUCGUGCCGUGAGGUGUCGGCUUAAGUGCCAUAACGAGCGCAACCCCUCUCCUUAGUUGCCAUCAGGUCAUGCUGGGCACUCUGGGGACACUGCCACCGUAAGGUGUGAGGAAGGUGGGGAUGACGUCAAAUCAGCACGGCCCUUACGUCCGGGGCUACACACGUGUUACAAUGGCAGGUACAGAGAGACGGUCCCUUGCAAAAGGGAUCAAAUCCUCAAAGCCUGUCUCAGUUCGGACUGGGGUCUGCAACCCGACCCCACGAAGCUGGAUUCGCUAGUAAUCGCGCAUCAGCCAUGGCGCGGUGAAUACGUUCCCGGGCCUUGUACACACCGCCCGUCAAGCCAUGAAAGCCGGGGGCGCCUAAAGUCCGUGACC
RNAcentral lists this ribosomal RNA (1233 nucleotides) under metagenome. Its description in RNAcentral is "bacterial SSU rRNA". It matches the Rfam family "Bacterial small subunit ribosomal RNA", at positions 198 to 1435 of the family's 1533-position model. The record is from RNAcentral.